This 433-nucleotide ribosomal RNA is filed under the name uncultured bacterium. RNAcentral describes it as "partial 16S ribosomal RNA". It matches the Rfam family "Bacterial small subunit ribosomal RNA", at positions 29 to 507 of the family's 1533-position model. The record is from RNAcentral.
AACGAACGCUGGCGGCAUGCCUAACACAUGCAAGUCGAACGAGACCUUCGGGUCUAGUGGCGCACGGGUGCGUAACGCGUGGGAACCUGCCCUUAGGUUCGGAAUAACUCCCCGAAAGGGGUGCUAAUACCGGAUAAUGUCUUCGGACCAAAGAUUUAUCGCCUUUGGAUGGGCCCGCGUUGGAUUAGCUAGUUGGUAGGGUAAAAGCCUACCAAGGCGACGAUCCAUAGCUGGUCUGAGAGGAUGAUCAGCCACACUGGGACUGAGACACGGCCCAGACUCCGACGGGAGGCAGCAGUGGGGAAUAUUGGACAAUGGGCGAAAGCCUGAUCCAGCAAUGCCGCGUGAGUGAUGAAGGCCUUAGGGUUGUAAAGCUCUUUUACCCGGGAUGAUAAUGAGAGUACCGGGAGAAUAAGCUCGGGCUAACUCCGUG